AGGCUUCUAACUCAGUGGUAGAGUGUACCUUUGAUAAGGGUAAUGUAUCUAGUUCAAUUCUAGAGAGGCUUA
Molecule: transfer RNA, 72 nt
Filed under: Piridium sociabile
Lineage: Eukaryota; Vitrellaceae
Description: tRNA-Ile
Rfam family: tRNA
About the family: Transfer RNA (tRNA) molecules are approximately 80 nucleotides in length. Their secondary structure includes four short double-helical elements and three loops (D, anti-codon, and T loops).
Source: RNAcentral